Molecule: long non-coding RNA, 327 nt
Filed under: Elaeis guineensis (African oil palm)
Lineage: Eukaryota; Viridiplantae; Streptophyta; Magnoliopsida; Arecales; Arecaceae
Description: long non-coding RNA (EGUI_LNC010073)
Source: RNAcentral
GGGGUUAUAAGUGUUUGAAUAUGAAUCAUUUCCUUAUCUAUGAGCUUGUUGUGUUUGAGCUUGCUGGACCUACUCAUACACAAACUCAGGAAAUUGAGGUGUGGUUGGGCAUUCACUAACAAAAUAGGUCAAGCUUGCACACAAUGCACAAAAAUUUUAGACUGGAUUAGGUGGAAUUUGAGAGUGUCCAGUAUUCAGGAGAUGAUCUAAUUUCUGAGAUGAUUCAUCUAUCUUACUGUGGAUAUUUAUGACAUUUCUAAUCUAAUAGAUUUUGCUUCUUAUCUGUUGAAGCAUGGGUUACUCUCUAGAGGUGGUAGACAUAUGAUG